GGGAGCAUAGCUCAGCUGGUUCAGAGCAUCUGCCUUACAAGCAGAGGGUCCUUGGUUCGAAUCCGAGUGCUCCCACAA
Molecule: transfer RNA, 78 nt
Filed under: Cnuella takakiae
Lineage: Bacteria; Pseudomonadati; Bacteroidota; Chitinophagia; Chitinophagales; Chitinophagaceae
Description: tRNA-Val
Rfam family: tRNA
About the family: Transfer RNA (tRNA) molecules are approximately 80 nucleotides in length. Their secondary structure includes four short double-helical elements and three loops (D, anti-codon, and T loops).
Source: RNAcentral